AUGGCGGAGCCGUCCAAGGUGAUCCACAUCCGGAACGUCGGCCACGAGAUCACCGAGGCCGAUCUGCUCCAGCUGCUGCAGCCGUUCGGCUCGGUAUCCAAGCUCGUCAUGCUGCGUGGCAAGAAUCAGGCCCUUCUCCAGAUGCAAGACAUUCAUUCGUCCGUGAGCGCGCUGCAGUACUACAGUGGUGUCCAACCUAGCGUAAGGGGAAGGCAUGUUUACAUGCAAUUUUCAUCCCAUCAAGAACUUACCACUGACCAGAGCUCUCAUAGCCGGAAUUCUGAUCAGGAAUCAGAACCCAACCGAAUCCUUCUAGUUACCGUCCACCACGUGCUCUAUCCUAUAUCGGUGGAGAUUCUGCAUCAAGUUUUCAAAGCAUAUGGAUAUGUGGAGAAGAUUGUCAAAUUUCAGAAGUCAGCUGGCUUUCAGGCCCUCAUCCAGUAUCAAUCACGUCAUGAGACUGUGGAAGCACUUGCUGCUUUGCAUGGAAGGAACAUAUAUGAUGGUUGCUGCCAGCUAGACAUCCAAUAUUCCAAUCUCUGCGAACUGCAAGUCCAUUUCAACAAUGAAAGAACUAGGGAUUUCACGAAUCCAUCAUUGCCUACAGAACAACGUCCAAGGCCCUCCCAGCAAGGUUUUCCAGAUCCUGGGGGUCUCCAUCCUUUCCAACAACCUGGAGGUCCGUAUACACAGAUGGGAAGAGCUGCAACGGUUGCAGCUGCAUUUGGUGGAACUUUACCGCCUGGAGUGACCGGUACCAAUGAACGGUGCACACUGAUAGUCAGUAAUUUGAACACUGAUAAAACCAACGAGGAUAAGCUUUUCAAUCUCUUCUCUUUAUAUGGAAACAUAGUUCGAAUCAAGGUGCUGCACAACAAACCAGAUCUUGCCCUUGUAGAAAUGGCUGAUGGGUUACAGGCCGAGCUAGCUGUGAACUAUCUAAAGGGGGCCACGCUAUUUGGCAACAAGUUGGAAGUCAACUACUCGAAGUACCCCACCAUAACCCCUGCCCCUGACGCGCAUGACUACAUCAACUCGGGCCUUAACCGCUUCAACAGCAACGUGGUGAAGAACUACCGGCACUGCUGCGCUCCAACCAAGAUGAUCCACGUCUCCGCCCUCGCACAAGACGUCUCCGAGGAAGCGCUCCUCGCCCAUCUGUCUGAGCACGGCUCUGUCGUCGGCACGAAGCUGUUCGAGGUGAACGGCAAGAGGCAGGCCCUCGUCCUGUUUGAGAGUGAAGAGGAGGCGACCGAGGCCCUCGUGUCGAAGCACGCCACCCCGCUGGAGGGGGGCACCAUCCGGAUCUCGUUUUCCCAGAUGCAGAGUCUGUAG
This 1335-nucleotide ribosomal RNA is filed under the name Triticum aestivum (bread wheat). Its description in RNAcentral is "partial small subunit ribosomal RNA". The record is from RNAcentral. Lineage: Eukaryota; Viridiplantae; Streptophyta; Magnoliopsida; Poales; Poaceae.